Molecule: long non-coding RNA, 1998 nt
Filed under: Nicotiana benthamiana
Lineage: Eukaryota; Viridiplantae; Streptophyta; Magnoliopsida; Solanales; Solanaceae
Description: long non-coding RNA (NBEN_LNC005415)
Source: RNAcentral
AAUUAUUUAGUGCUUUAAAUUUAUUUUCAAAAUUAAUUUACUAUUUGUUAUAAUUUUAAAAGGAAAAAAUUGGCUAUUUAAAUAAUAGCCCAAUUGCAUUUCAAUUAUAGCAUUAAUAUGACCCCAAAUUAAACCCGAUUGUGCGGCACAAUUAUAUUUUAAACCCGACCCCUAACCCAAAUAAUCCUACCCAACCCGGAUCCCCUACCUACCCUCUUUAAUCCGGGUCGUUGAUCAUUCAAAUCAACGACCAAUAUUCGCCCUUACCAUUUUUAACCCUGAAAGACCCCUAAGCCUAAUUCAUUUUACACCACCCACUGUCUCUGAAUCUUUUCCCUCUCAAUUCUCUCUACAACCUCUCUUGAACCCUAAUCCGCCUUAACCCCUACCUAAUCCAUGGCCUCUCAUGGCCAUUGGAGAUGUGUAUCAGCCUCCUAUGGCUCCUGGGUGUUUGUUUCUGUGGUUUAUGGCCAGACCUCGAAGGGAUAUGGUCCAAUCCUUGCUCGACUUCUGUUCAUGGCCUUUUUUCGGCCAUCCAUGACAUUUCUCCGGCCAUUCAUGGCUUUUCAAGGCAGAUCCUUGACUUCCUAGUUAGGUCGAUAACUUUCAAGGUCUUUCUCACCUUUUCUGGAUUUUUCGAAACACUAAUCAUUAAGAUUUUUCAAUUUUCUUUUACUAUGAAUUUUUUAACUGUUUUCUCGACGGUUGUUCAACUUUUCUUUCAAAAUGACUCUUCAUUUUUCAACGAUUGGGGGUUUCUCUAAUCUUCUUUUAAAGAUCUUUUCUCUGGUUUUAAUGUUGUUUAUGGUUUUGCUAUGUUUAAAACGAUUUGUUCAUAUUGUUCUUCUAUCUAUUUCAGCAUGUUAAACCCCUAGUUCCUUUUAAUCUUAUCAGAGUUAUGAAACUAUUUGUUUAAAUGUGUACUUGUUUUUUGUUUCUAACUCUCUUUCCUUGUUUGACUUGUUUGAUUUUGAGUUCUUAUCAUAUCUUAAACUCGAUUACUGUUGAAGCCUUAAUUUCUGAAAAUGGGUUUUUCUCACUUAUUACUGUGAGACCUUUACUUGUUUCUGAUUUCUCUUACCUAAUUCUAUGUACUUCUUCACUGUUGAUUCUAUGUGACCACUUGACCUACUUGAUUAGUGUGUUUCAAAUAUCUUUCUUAAUACUGAAUCUUAGCUUAUUUUUGCCACUACUAUAUGUUUGUGUUGCUUCAUUUUGUCAACAAGUUUAACUCCACAUGCUUGUUCAUCCCUUGCUAUUUAUAUGGUGAAGUGCAUAAUCAUGGUCCUUUCUUGAUUGAUCUUGAUUUCCUCAAUCUUUCGACUAAUUGUAAAAGGUUUUCUUACGAGCCCUAAUUUAUACUCAUCUGUUUAAAAUUAAUUGAUUCUUUUCCUUAAAUGUGUUAUUUUACUUGCUGAACCCAAAAUAAGCCUAUUUUGUACUUCGACGUGUUUAUUUACUUCAUGCUUUUACUGUCCCUUAUAUGGCAAUAAUCAAUCUGUAUCAAGCUGAUUUCUUUCCUUAAUUAAUCAAUGUUAGUAUCCGUUAAACAAUAAUUUCUUAAUUAAAGGGAAUUACUUAUGUUAAUUGCUUCUGAUUGAGAUUAAUUUCCAUGUUUGUGUUAAGACUUUACUUAUUACUUUACUUUUCACUCGUUUUCAAAAAACUAUAAAUAUCAUGCACCAUGUUUCUUUCAAACAAACGAACAAUUUGAGUUCAAGAACACACUUUCACUCAAAAAUUUCUCUCUUUUCUCUACUAUUACUUGUUCUACUGCUCUGUCUAGCCGGCUGAAAGCCAAGGCUUAGACUGUGGAAUCUUGCUUAUUUCUUUCAUUCUGCACUUUUCUUCUCUACUGGUAUGUCCUAGUUAAUUCUCAAGCAUCAACAACAACAUGAAUCUUUAGCUGUUCAGUUUCUUUCACUCUUGCCUACUUCUACAUAUGUUUAUGCAGUCAAAUUACACUACCAGCAUGCUGUAAUAUGCUCCCCCCCCCCC